Non-coding RNA from Pelobates cultripes (western spadefoot toad), 378 nucleotides. The record is from the annotation of a GenBank genome assembly. NCBI's taxonomy places the organism in Eukaryota, Metazoa, Chordata, Amphibia, Anura, Pelobatidae.
CUUGGCUUGUUUAUUUUUCUAUUCUGACUUAUUUAUCCCUUGACAUUUGGCUUGCCUACCGUUUAUGUACACUCUGUUUCCCUUACCUCAGCCUGUCCUCUAUUAUUAGACAAGCAGACAAAGGAACAGGUAGAGUCAAAAAUAAGCAAUACAUGUAUAAAACAAAAUAGGAUUUUAACUAAUGAAAAUAGGUUACCAGAACACAAAAUUAAUAUUAUUAGAGAAGGUAUCAAGAUAAUUUUAAACAACAACCUUUUCUGGUUUUUAGAUUCGUUCUAUCUUCAAAAACAAGGUACAGCAAUGGGCAUUAGGUUCACCCCAAGUUACCCCAAUUUAUUUUUGGAUGAUUAGGAAUCCGAAGCUAUUUGUGGUGAUCAU